AGUCUUCCUACCUUACCUCAUGCCCGGCUGGCCCGUGCUCAUCCUUCCGCGCCUUCACUGUCGCCUUGGCCUGCCUUGCCUUUCUGCGUACUCUGCGUUCCCCGCUGGGAGGAGGGUCUGGUGAUAAAAUAGCGGCGAGGCUGCCUUCCUGUACCUAGAAUGACUUUUCUCUUGCCUUCACCUGUCUAACUUCUACUUAUCCUACAUCACAUUCCCCAGGAAGACUUCACUCCCUACCAUUUAGAGGCCUUGAAAACAUGGAUCAAGUCUUAGUCAUCAUUUAUACCAGAGGUCCCCAACACCUGGGCCGUAGACCAGCACCAGUCUGUGCCUGUUAGAAACUGGGCUACACAGCAGGAAGUGAGUGACAGUUCAAAAUAGGUUAUAAAGCAGCGGAGACAACUCACAACAUCCACAACGUAUUUGGCCUAGGAACUGCUAAUGAGAAUGUACAGUGCAGUGGUGGUUCAAGAAGUUUCGCAAAGGAGAGGAGAGCCUUGAAGAUGUGGAGCAUAGUGGCUGGCCAUUGGAAGUUGACAACAACCAAUUAAGAGCUAUCAUAGAAGCCAGUCCUCUUACAACUACACGAGAAGUUGCCAAAGAACUCAACGUUGACCAUUCUGCAAUCAUUUGGCAUUUGAAGCAAAUUGGAAAGGUGAAAAAGCUUGAUAAGUGGGUGCCUCAUUAACUUAGUGAAGAUUUUAAAAAUCAUCGUUUUGAAAUGUCAUUUUCUCUUAAUCUACGCAACAACAGUGAACCAUUUCUCGAUCAGAUUGUGAAGUGCCACAAAAAGUGGAUUUUAUAGGACGACCAGCUCAGUGGUUGGACCACGACACUCCAAAGCACUUCCCAAAGCCGAACUUGCACCAGAAAAAUCUCAUGGUCACUGUUUGGUGGUCUGCUGCGGGUCUGAUCCACUACAACUUUCUGAAUCCUGGGGAGACCCUUAAUCUGAGAAGUAUGCUCAGCAAUUCGAUGAGAUGCACCAAAAACUGCAAUGCCUGCAGCCAGCAUUGGUCAACAGAAAGGGCCCAGUUCUUCUCCAUGACACUGCCUAACCGCAUGUUGCCCAGCGAGCGCUUCAAAAGUUGAACAAAUUGGUCUACGAAGUUUUGCCUCAUUCUCCAUAUUCACCCGACCUCUCACCAACUGACCACCACUUCUUCAAGCAACUCGACAACUUUUUGGAGGGAAAAUGCUUCCACAACCAGCAGGAUGCAGAAUAUGCUUUCCAAGAGUUCGUCGAAUCACAAAGCAUGGAUUUUUAUGCUACAGGAGUAAACAAACAUUUCUUGUUGGCAAAAAUGUGUUGAUUGUAAUGUUUCCUCUUUUGAUUAAUAAGAUGUGUUUGAGCCUAGUUAUAAUGAUUUAAAAUUUACAAUCCAAAAUAACAAUUACUUUGCAUCAAGCUAAUCACACAGUGCCCAAUGUAAUUUCUUGGCAUGAGACCAUUUAUUGUUGAGCUGAAUUGUUGAACUGUCAUGUUUUCCACCAGAGUGGAAACUCCUUUAGAGCAAUAGAUCAUAUAAACUUUUGUCUCCCAAAGUUUAUGGUGUAGUGACAUAGAUCGAUGAUUGAUUAAUUCAAAGAAUGAUAGAUGUAGAACUUACUUGCUUUACAAUAGAAGUUCAGAGGAAGGAAACAUUCAUUCACUGCCUGGGACAGGGGAAGGUGGAAAAGUAAGAGGUUUUCCUUAAGGAAUGGAUAUGAUUUUAAGUGUGUUGAGAGAGACAGUGUCUUGAAAAAGAGUUCAUAAUGGGAAAUAGAAACUCUCCUAAAAUACCAGUCAUAGUCUAGGAACAAUUGGAACACUUCAUAAAUAUCACUAGGGCUACUUCAAAAUCAAAGGGAAUAAACUUCCAAUUGUUUCCAAGCAUUAGGGCUGCACAAUAGGUGGUGGUAAAGAGGGGUGUCUAUUAAUUUGCCAACUAAAACUUUAGACACUGGGUAGGAGGUGCAAAUAUUAGAUUGCUACAAAAGUAAUUGUGGUUUUUGCCAUAUUUUAAUGACAAAACUGCAGUUUCUUUUGCACCAAACUAAUAUAUAGCCACUACAAACUUUGGAUAAAAGUUUCUAUGUAGGAUCCCACAUUUUUCUUAGUGCUGUGCCAAGCACUGCAUAACACACAGAAGCAAAGAGGGGGCCGCAGCAACACAAGGUAAGGAGACAUAGCAGCCUCUGAAGAACACACCUAGGGCUCUUAUUUGUUUUUUCGCUUUUUAUUUUGAAGUAAUUUUAGGAAGUUGCAAAAAAGAACAGAGUCCUGUGGACCCUUGCUUCUCCCAGUGGUGGCAUUUGAUAUUGUUGUAUAAUAUCAAAAUUAGGAAAUUGACUUGACUACAGACCUUAUUUGAUUUUUGUCAUAUUUUAACCUGCAUUCAUUUGCACAUAUAUGUGUAUGCAUGUAACUACGCAGUAUUCCAUGCAUAAAUGUGUGUAACCAUCACUGCAGUCAAGAUUCAGAAUUAUUCUAUCACCAGUCUAUUUUUAAUCCUUCCUAUAUUAAUUACAGGGAUUUUUGACCUUGAUACUAUUGACAUUUGGGAUCAGAUCAUUUUAUGUUGGGGGCGGCUUUUCUGUGCAUUGUAGGAUGUUUAGCAGAAUCCCUACUCACUAGAUGUCAGUAGCAGUCCCACCCUACCCCUGUCAUGACAAUCAAAAAUGUCUCUAGACUGUGCCAGAUGUCCCAUGGGAGGCAAAAUUGCCCCUGGUUGAGAACCACUGCUGUAGAGAGAGCUGGUGGAAUCCUCCCUACCAUCUGCAUCUUUCCAUAAGAGGAAAGUGGAGUAGCAAACGUUAUCAAGUAUCAAAGAAUGAUAUUUCACUACAAAGUCUUUUUCAUUCUGAGUUUAUUGGAAUACUCAAGAUAAACUUCACUGUGAAUUUUUCCCAGUAGAUGCUGAGUAUUCCCAGGAUUCUAUUAUAAAUUUCAUCUUAGUUACUGCAUUUCACCUGCUCAUCUCUUAUCAAGAGUCUGGAAUUUACUCAGGUCUUAUGAAAAUGCCCGAAAAUACUUCCAAGACUAUUCUUUUUUGACCUCUCUUACAAAUAGGUUACUGCUGAUAACCUAAGAGACACAGUCCCUAAGGCAAGCAGAAGUGGUAAGACUAGUUCUCCUGGAAACAUAAAUAGAAGGAUACAUAUUUUGAUAAGUAGACUCAGGCUUGGUCUUUUUUUGUGUAAAACUCUAAGCUUAAUGAUUUCAGUGGACAAAUUUUUUCAAAACAUAUUUGGAAUGUGUUUCUUGACUUAGGAGGUUAGUUUAUGUGAAGAGUCUGCCAUCAUGUAUAAACUAAGUAAAUGAGCCAUGGGGAAAUUAUAGGUGCUUAUUGAGGACAGAGAAAAGAAGCUUAGAAAUGUUCAACAUCUAUAGUAUGAUGCCAGUCAUUGAAGAAUUCCCCAGAGUGCUUCUGGGGAAAAAAAAAAAAAAAAACUUCUGGAAGCUGAGGGGUGUUUUAAAAAGAAUGUAUUGUCUUCCCAUCAUUCAUUGCAUUUGAAUAAUUCUUACAGCCUUUGUUCCCAUUUGAGAAUAGUCAGUGAAUUUAAAGGUCAAGGCAGAACCUGUAGCUUAUCUGAGUUGUUCUGUAAUCCGCAAAGAAUUGUGAGGGAUCUGGGUCUCUAAUUACAAGCUAUCUAUUUCAUGAAUACUAGCAGAAAACACAAGAUUCCUACAUGAGAAACAAAGGUGUUUGUUACAGCAGUAUCAGUGGCCAGCGUGUCAGCAUUUUCUGGCAUCAUUACCCAAGCCCUAAUUUCCACAGUGAUACAAAGAGAGCUAGAUGACACCUGUACACACAGUAGUUUGCAUUAUAGGAGAGGAAAUUCAAACAUGGAAAACAAAUCUUUUAUAAUGGGCAGUAAGCAUGACUUCCCUUUGCUCUGUAAGAAGAUACUUAAAGUCUAAGACUGGUCACUAUAGAAAUAUUCUUGGAAAAAAUUCUAGGCUGGGUUUGGUGGCUCAUGCCUGUAAUCCCAGCACUUUGGGUGUCUGAAGCGGGCAGAUUGCUUGAGCUCAGGAGAUGGAGACCAGUCUGAGCAAUGUGGCGAAAUUCCAUCUCUACAAAAAAUGCAAAAGCCAGGUGUGGUGCAAACCUGUUGUCCCAGCUACUCAGGAGGCUGAUAUGGGAGAAUUGCUAGCAUGCAGGAGAUUGAGGCUGUAGUGAGCUGAGAUUGUGCCACUGCACUCCAGCUUGGCCCACAGAGCAAGACUCUAUCUCAAAAAAAAAAAAUUGUCCAGAAGAAAGACAAUAUAUUAGUUUGCUAUUGCUGCUGGAACAAGUUACCUUGAACUUAGUGGCUUAAAACGACACAGAUUUAUUAACUUCUAGUUCUGGAGGUCAGGAGUCUAAAAUUGAUCUGACAAGGCUAAAAUCAGAGUCUAUGUUCCUUCUGGAAGUUGCAAGGGAGAAUCAAUUGCUUUUUCAAUUUUCUAGAGGCUGCCCACAUUUUUUGGCUUGUGGCCACAUCACGCUAACCUCUACUUCAUUGUUAUAUCUCCUCUGACUCUCUGCCUCUUUCCUUCAUGAGGAUCUUUGUGAUGAUGCUGGGCCCACUCAAGUAAUCCAGGAUUCUCUCCUCAUGUUAAUAUUCUUAUUUGCAUCCUGCAGAGUCACUUUUGCAUGUAAGGUAACAUAUUUUCAAAGGUUUUUUCUUUUUUUUUAAGAGAUAGGGUCUCAGUUACCCAGGCUGGAGUCCAAUGGCACAAUCACAGCUCACUGCAGCCUCAACCUCCCAAGCUCAAGCAGUCCUCCCACCUCAGCCUCCCCAGUAGCUAGGAUCACAGUAUAUACCACCAUGCCUAGCUAAUUUUUUUCUUUUCUUUUCUUUUCUUUUUAAGAGAUGGAUUCUCUCUUUAUUUCCCAGGAUGGUCUCAAAAUGCUGGGCUCAAGUGAUCCUCCCACCUCAGCCUCCUAAAGUUCUGGAAUAAUAGCCCUGUGUCACUGUGCCCAGUCUCAAAGUUUCUGCAGAUUAAAAUGUGGACAUCUUUGGGCAGCCAUUGUUCUAUCCAGUCUAGGCAGGCAGUGCCUCUAUUCAUAAGAUGUGCAGAAUCAGGAAAGACCCAUAAAGAAUUGUCAUUCAACAAUAUCCACCCCUUGUUUCUGUACAUUGUUGACUUCUGGCAAACUUUCCCAUGAGUAUGCCACACUGUUAGUCCAAUGAAUCUGAACCAGGGGCUGGGACCAAAUCUUUUCAAUUUGUUUCAUACAGCAUUAAUAAGGCUAUUGUCAAUGAGACUCCUGGUAGCAAGAUAAGGCCAACCUGCAAUAUUAAUAACCAUGCUUUCCACUGUUCCAGGCCCAGUUAGCCAAACAAAUCUCAUAAAGCAUUAGGGUCUACUUUGGCUGCCUCUGUGGCAUUGUUUAUGUAUUGAUUUUUUCCACUUGGCCCAAGGAAUAAAUCCAAGUAAGUACAGGAAGAUGUAUUAGUAUUUGCACAUAUUUUGUCAUGGCCUGCAAGGAGGAAAUCUAGGACAAUUAUAUCAAUCAACAACCCUAAACAGUAAAGUGAGGUGGAUUUGAAUCCCUUCCAGAGCCAAUAUGAUGCUACUGAUCAUUUCAGCUAAAGUUAGGAAAAAUUUUUUUCCACUCUUAAUUGGCUGGCUUACAUUGUAGGAAUAAUUGGCACAGGUGCGUACACAUAGCAAGUCAGUUAUCCCUCUGAGAAAAUCCUCUGAGUAAUCUAAAGUAGCCUCAUUUGGAUAGCCCUUCCAGUUAUCUUAGGACAAUGUGACUACUGAUGGUGUUUCCUUAAACAUUUGAAGCUUUCUUAUGACCAUCCCUAUGGUGUAACUCACUGUAAAGUGUUUUGGGGUUUGGUUUUGUUUUAAGUUGAAGUCUUACUCUGUCACCGAGGCUGGAGUGCAGCGGUGCAAUCUUGGCUCACUGCAACCUCCACCUCUCAGGUUCAAGCAAUUUUCCUGCCUCAGCCUUCUGAGUAACUGGUACUAAAGGCACGUGCCACCAUGCCCAGCUAAUUUUUAUAUUUUUAGUAGAGAUGGGAUUUCACUAUGUUGGCUAGGCUAGUCUCAAAAGUCCUGAACUCAAGUCAUCUGCCUGCCUCAGUCUCCCAAAGUACUGAGAUUACAGGUAUGGGGCUGUCCCCAGAAAAAGAUCAUUUCCGCUUGGCCAAUUCCUAGUAAUGAUGGCCAAGGGACAAAGGGGAUGGGAUUGGGUGGGGUGUGCGUUGCUUAUAAAUCUGCCUUGAAACUUCAGAAUUCUACCCUGGAAAUUCCUGGACAUGACGCUUCUCUCUUUCCCUUAAUGGCAGUCACAGGCUGGCCCGGUUGGUACAUCCUCUGGGUGGCAGUCCAGCCAAAAGGGGGCCUAAGGGAUUUAAUUCUGGUUCAGUUACUUAUCUGUUGUUUAGCAAGGUUCCAGAUCAAAAGGAUAAUGACCAUGUGGUUGGAAACAUUUCUCCCUAGGUCCCCCUAUAGUGGCCCAUGUGGACCAAAAUCGGGGACACAAUGAGUCUCUAUAAGUUUUAGAAAAAUGUCCUUUUGUUGUCGUUGUUACACCUUACCUUUCUGGCUACAAGGUCUGGAUGUGAGAAGGAAAUGAUUGGGAAAAAAAGGUGAAGCUAUAGCUAUUAGAAGUGGAUUGAGACACUAAUUUUUUUUUUUUUUUUUUGAGACGGUGUUUUUCUCUAUCACCUAGGCUAGAGUGCAGUGGUGCAAUCUUGGCUCACUGCAAGCUCCACCUCCCAGGUUCAAGAGAUUCUCCUGCCUCAGCCUUCUGAGUAGCUGGGAUUAUAGGCAUGCACCAUCAUGCUCGGCUAAUUUUGUGUGUGUGUGUGUGUGUGUGUGUGUGUGUGUGUGUCUAUGUGUGUUCGUUCUUAAAAGAGAUGUAGUUUCAUCAUGUUAGGCUGGUUGGUCUCAAACUCCUGAACUCAGAUGAUCCACCUGCCUCGGCCUCCCAAAGUGCUGGGAUUACAGGCGUGAGCCACUGCGCCUGGCGUGGUAGUGGAGGAGGUAGAUUAAACAACCCCAGCACUAAGAGAAGAAACAUCUUAGAGCUUGGGAGGUACAGGAAAGGUAGAAACAUUAGUAUCUUCUAUCUUUCAGAGCCAUCACUGGAUCUUUACUUAUGAAGGAAAAUAAACUGGUGAGGCUCUCCUGAACUAGCAAACACUUCUAAUCUAACUGACUACUGGGUCUAACACAUCCUGCCAGACAGCUCUGACUGCAAUUGAUUGCCACACUCCUUCACCUUAAUAAGAAAUCUACUGAAAAGAGCAGAAAAUGGCCCAACUCCUGCAUCUCUCAUGAAAAUAAUCUGUUGACACCUCUGGAUAUCUUUCCCACUCCUAUUCCUGUAAACUUUGCUAGUCAUUCUAUAGAGUAAAUGAAUACCACCUGGCCGGUGGCAAGGACAAAUAGAAUGGUAUGUACUGAAGGCCCUCAGGCAGUUGGUUUCUCCAUAAAUAACAACUGGGCUCAAUUAUUCAAACUGUACUGGGAAUCCUAAAAAUGCUAAUUGUAGGACCUACCUAAUAGUCUUUUUUUCUUUUUCUUCUUCUUUUUUUUUUUCUAGAUGGAGUCUCAGUUUGUUACCCAGGCUAGAAUGCAGUGGGGUGUGAUCUUGGCUCACUGAAACCUCUGCCUCCCUGGUUCAAGCAAUUCUCCUGUCUUAGCCUCCUGAGUAGAUGGGACUACAGGCAGGCGCCACCAUGCCCAGCUAAUUUUUGUAUUUUUAGUAGAGACAGGGUUUCACUGUAUUGGUCAAGCUGGUCUUGAACUUCUGACCUCAGAUGAUCUACCUGCCUCAACCUCCCAAAAUGCUGAGAUUACAGGUGUGAGCCACCUCACCCAGCCUCCUAAUAGUCUUCAAUUAAGUUUAGGGGGAAUGCUCAACUCUUUAUAAGAUAAACUCCAAACUUUCUUGAAAGAUUAAACAUUCUAUUUCUAUUGUGUAUAAUCAAGGUGUAAUAUAUAUAUUGACCAUCUUAGUCUGUUUUGUGUUGCUAUAACAGAAUAGCUAGGGCUGGGUCAUGUUUAAAGAAUAGAGGUUUAUUUCACUUACAGUUCUUCAGGCUGGGAAGUUCAAGGGAAUGGCACUGGCUUUUGGCAAGGGUUUUCCUGUUAUGUCAUAGCAUGGCAGAAGAUCAGAGGGGGCAGUGGACAUGUACACAGGGGGCCCAAACAGAAAGAAACUCACUUUGUAACAAUAUGCUCUUGAGAGAACUAAUCCACUCCUCAAGAGUGAGAACUCACUUGGCAUUAAUCUAUUGAUGAGAAAUCUGCCCCCCAUAACUCAGACACCUCUCACUAGACCACACCUCCCAAUACUGCCACAUCAGGAAUCAAAUUUCAACAUGAUUUUUAGUGGGGACAUACCAUCAUUGGCAGAUGGUGUCACAGCUUGAGUAGAGUAAGCAAAAAGUUUAUGUAUAGGAUUGGUAACCUAAAUGUGGAAAGCAAAAUUUAAUAGCUUUUAGAAGCUAGGAAAGGAUUUAUUUUAAAAGAUGCAAAAAGCACAAAUUAUAACAAAAACACUUACAUAAUUACAUUAAAAUUUUAAAACCCCAUCUCUACUAAAAAUACAAAAAUUAGCCAAACGCAGUGGCCCGUGCCUGUAAUCCCAGCUAUUCGGUAGGCUGAGGCAGGAGAAUCACUUGAACCAGGGAGACGGAGGUUGCAGUGAGCCAAGAUCGUGUCACUGCACGACAGAGCAAGACUUUGUCUCAGAAAACAAACAACAACCACCAAAAAAAAAAAAAAAACACUUCAAUGGCUCACAUCUGUAAUCCCAACACUUAGGGAGACCAGGCAAGAGGAUCACUUGAGCUCAGGAGUUUGAGACCAGUCUGAGCAACAUAGUGAGACAUUACGUAAUCUCUACAAAAAUUAAAAAAAAUUAGCCAGGUAUGUUGGUGCAUGCCUUGUAGUCCCAGCUACUCAGGAGGCUGAGGCAAGAGUAUCACUUGAGCCCAAGAGGUCAAGGCGGCAAGAAGCCAUGAUCACACCACUGCACUCCAACCUGGAUGACAGUUAGACCCUGUCUCAAAAUAAAUAAAAUAAAAAUAAAAAACUUCUCUACGUCAAAAACUUCAUAAACAAAAUAAAAAGACAAGCCAUACUGAUGAGCAAAUGUGGGAAACAUAUAAACAACAAUUCACAUCCAGAAUAUAUCAAGAAUGCUUGCAUAUAAAUAAGAAAAAAAAUACCUAAAAGGAAAAAGGGCAUUUCACUCAAAUGAAAACACCUAAGAAAUGCUCAAUCUCGUUGGUUUAUAUGUAAAAAUACAAAUUUAAACAAGAUAUUAUUUCAUCCCCAUUAUACUGGCAAAAACAAAUCUGACAAUAAGUGUUGUUAAGGAUGUAAAGAAAAGGGAACUUUCACAUACUGCUACUGGGAGUGUAAAUUGGUAUAGCCACCUUGGAAAACAAUCUGACAGUAUCUAGUAAAGUUGACGAUAUCCACGUCCAACAAUCCCACAAUUCUACUUCUAAGUAUAGGCCUUAGAAAACUCCCUUACAGAUCACAAGAGACAUAUACAAGAAUAUUUUUUGCAACACUGUAAUAAUUAAAAUGGGAAAUAACAUAAAUAUUUACCUAUCUUACUCAUAUAGCAGAAUAUGAUACAAGAACUAACAUGAGCAAACCCCGAGAUAUAGGUAUCAAAAACAUUCAGCAAAAAGAAAUGCAAGUUGUAUAUCACUACACAUAGUAUAUCAUUAAUAUCAAGUUUUAAAAUAUGCAAAACAGUAUAUUAUGGCAUAAAAACAUGUAUAGGAAUAACAACAAAUAAAUGAAGGUAGUAACCACCUUUGAGAGAGAGAAAGGGAAUGGAAUUGGGGAUUAAUACAUGGAAAGAUGUCCCUCAAUUGUAUCCGUAUUACUUUAUUCCUUAAGCUCAGUGAGAUAUACAUAAAUUGUUAUUUCUUCCUACAUCUGAAAUACCUCAUUGAUUUAGACAGAUUCUUUUUAAACUCUCAAAGUGAAGUAGUAUUAUUCUCCUUUCUCUUCCUUAAUAAUUCAGUCCUAAAGUCAAUAGGUGGAUUCAAGAGUGAAGGAGAAGGUGGCGGGGCAUGGUGGCAGGCACUACAGCCAGAGCUGUGUCAGAGACUGAGCAGGCUAAGGGCAUUCCCACAGUGGAGUGGAGAGGCAGCACUGAUGGGAGAUGGGUUAUAAAUGAGGACAUUCAUCAAAGAAAUAUAAUUGAUCCUCAUUGCUUGUUGAUUCCAUAUUUGAGAAUUUGCCUACUUGUUAAAAUGUACUUGUAACCUCAAAAUGUGAAGCUUUCGUGGCCAUUCACAGACAUGCACAUAGCAACAAAAACUUAAGUUGCUGGAUGUACACAUUCCCAGCUGAGGCUUUCUUGUUUCAUUUCAGCUCUCAUACUGUAAAGAAGUAUCUUUUCCACAGUUUAUUUAGUGCCAAUUAAAAAAAUUUUUUUUUUGC
Molecule: non-coding RNA, 10399 nt
Organism: Callithrix jacchus (white-tufted-ear marmoset)
Lineage: Eukaryota; Metazoa; Chordata; Mammalia; Primates; Cebidae
Source: RefSeq, a predicted model, not a curated record